Molecule: long non-coding RNA, 756 nt
Filed under: Medicago truncatula (barrel medic)
Lineage: Eukaryota; Viridiplantae; Streptophyta; Magnoliopsida; Fabales; Fabaceae
Description: long non-coding RNA (MTRU_LNC000334)
Source: RNAcentral
AAUUGCCCUUUUAUGUAAAUUUUCUUAAAACCCUAAUUUUAUUCAUUGUCACUGAGUUUCACCCUCUUUCACCCCACAAGCGAUCACGAUCAAACAAUUUAAUGUUCAAUAUCAAUCUCCAUGAAAAUUAAAGAGUGAAUCAAAAUAUUUUUCAUCCAUACUCAAUUGGAUAUAAGUAAGUGAAUUUCUUCUUCUAUUUGCAAGUUUCAAUUUUUUUCCUUCAACUGCACUGAUGCACUGUACGAUUACGGUUUUAAUUUACAUUGGUAAGGUUAACUUAAAUUAAGUUUAAGUAGGUUCACGUAAACUAAGUUUACAUGAACCUACUUAAACUGAAUUUACAUGAACCUACUUAAACUAAGUUUACAUGAACCUACUUAAACUGAAUUUACAUGAACCUACUUAAACUGAGUUUACAUGAACCUACUUAAACUGAGUUUACAGAACAAGGAAAACACAAAAUCGCAGUACUGAGAACCCAUAAGAAGAAAAACACAAUUGAUUGAAGAACAACACUUGCUAACCUGAUUUGCUUCGAAUUUUCUUUGAAAUCAUGAAUGGACGUGAGAAAGUAUGGUUUUGAAAUUCUUCGCAGAACACAAUCGAUCUAUUGCAGAAUUAUGGUUUUGGAAGAGGGGUUUUGGGAUGUAACCAAGAAAGAAGGAAUAUGCUUUUUGAAAAUCAAAUUUUAUGAAAGGGUAAUCUUGUCAUUUUGGGGUGCAACCAUGAUUAACUAGGGUGCAAGUAGAAAAACUC